GAAACGAUGUCGGUGUUCGACGCUGCUAUCGUCAACACGGAGCUUUCGAAACCGACGUCGAUCUUCGGUCUCCGGCUAUGGGUCGUCAUCGGAAUCCUACUCGGAUCCCUAAUCGUCAUCGCCCUCUUCCUCCUCUCCCUCUGCCUCACCUCCCGCCGCAAAAACCGCAAACCGCGAGCCGACUUCGCCUCCGCCGCCGUGGCAACGCCGCCGAUUUCGAAGGAGAUUAAGGAGAUCGUUCCGGCGCCGGCGGAGAUCCAGGUGGACAUAGGGAAGAUGGAGCACAGAGUGGUGUUCUCGGAUCGAGUGUCGAGCGGGGAGAGCAGAGGAACGGCGAGUGCGAGCGAGACGGCGUCGUAUUCGGGGAGCGGGAACGUGGGGCCGGAGGUGUCGCAUCUGGGAUGGGGGAGGUGGUAUACUCUGAGGGAGCUCGAGGCGGCCACGAAUGGGCUGUGUGAGGAGAAUGUGAUCGGAGAAGGCGGUUACGGGAUAGUGUAUCGUGGGGUGUUAACCGACGGUACUAAAGUCGCAUCGCGUCGUCAUUGAUUGAUGCAUUUACCCCCAAACCAAAAGCGUUCCUCCAGCACAUCAACAACAACGUCUGCUUACUCGAGAAGGGUAACAACGUCAUUUGAAUAAAAUCACUCUCACCGUCAGACCAUAGAUAUUAUUAUUACAUGGAGACAGAAACUCAAAAGGACAGCUCAUCCCACAGACACAAGUUCACUGGAAACCCCUCUUCUUUAAAUUCCAUUUCCUUUCAUUUAAUUUUAAUUAAUCUCUUCUGUUCUUUUUCCUAGAUUCCGUGAUUUCGAUUCAACACUCGAUGCGGUGACAAUUAUAGAUUUGUUUUUGCGAAGAAACAGGAAACGAUGUCGGUGUUCGACGCUGCUAUCGUCAACACGGAGCUUUCCAAACCGACGUCGAUCUUCGGUCUCCGGCUAUGGGUCGUCAUCGGAAUCUUACUCGGAUCUCUAAUCGUCAUCGCCCUCUUCCUCCUCUCCCUCUGCCUCACCUCCCGCCGCAAAAACCGCAAACCGCGAGCCGACUUCGCCUCCGCCGCCGUGGCAACGCCGCCGAUUUCGAAGGAGAUUAAGGAGAUCGUUCCGGCGCCGGCGGAGAUCCAGGUGGACAUAGGGAAGAUGGAGCACAGAGUGGUGUU
RNAcentral lists this long non-coding RNA (1162 nucleotides) under Brassica napus (rape). RNAcentral describes it as "long non-coding RNA (BNAP_LNC008660)". The record is from RNAcentral. Lineage: Eukaryota; Viridiplantae; Streptophyta; Magnoliopsida; Brassicales; Brassicaceae.